CUCAAGAAGCUUUGCUUCAAACAUCAAAACAACUACACAAGUACAGUCUUAAGGACUAUAGCAUUGUCUUUUGUUUGGUGUAUGUACUGACAAUCACCGCGAUGGGAAACAAACGUGUGGUUUUGGCCCUAGCAAUGUGUCUCGUUAUCUCAAGCUUCCAUGAGAUUUCUUGUCAGCAGGUUGGCGGAAGCAGGGAAUUUGGAACCUUAGAGGGUCAAGAAUCUGAAUCUAAUGUCCAAACCUUCGAAGGGAAAGCGACAUCAUCUGUGUCUCACUCACUCGAAGCUGAGUAUGAAGCUGCUGGUAGUUAUGAAGCGGGUC
Long non-coding RNA from Raphanus sativus (radish), 321 nucleotides. RefSeq lists it as uncharacterized. The record is from RefSeq and is a predicted model, not a curated record. NCBI's taxonomy places the organism in Eukaryota, Viridiplantae, Streptophyta, Magnoliopsida, Brassicales, Brassicaceae. The transcript has 4 exons.